RNAcentral lists this ribosomal RNA (367 nucleotides) under uncultured organism. Its description in RNAcentral is "bacterial LSU rRNA". It matches the Rfam family "Bacterial large subunit ribosomal RNA", at positions 2099 to 2465 of the family's 2925-position model. The record is from RNAcentral.
CUUUACUGUAGCCUGGUAUUGGGUUCGGGCUUUGACUGCGCAGGAUAGGUGGGAGACUAUGAAGCUGCCCUUGUGGGGGCAGUGGAGUCAUCAGUGAGAUACCACUCUGUCAAGGCUAGAAUUCUAACCGUCUGCCGUUAUCCGGCGACGGAACAGUAUCAGGUGGGCAGUUUGACUGGGGCGGUCGCCUCCUAAAUGGUAACGGAGGCGCGCAAAGGUUCCCUCAGGCUGGUUGGAAAUCAGCCGAAGAGUGUAAAGGCAGAAGGGGGCUUGACUGCAAGAGCAACAACUCAAGCAGGGACGAAAGUCGGCCUUAGUGAUCCGACGGCGCUGAGUGGAAGGGCCGUCGCUCAACGGAUAAAAGUUA